GACGAACGCUGGCGGCGUGCUUAACACAUGCAAGUCGAACGGAAAGGCCCUGCUUUUGUGGGGUGCUCGAGUGGCGAACGGGUGAGUAACACGUGAGUAACCUGCCCUUGACUUUGUGAUAACUUCAGGAAACUGGGGCUAAUACCGGAUAGGAGCUCCUGCUGCAUUGUGGGGGUUGGAAAGUUUCGGCGGUUGGGGAUGGACUCGCGGCUUAUCAGCUUGUUGGUGGGGUAGUGGCUUACCAAGGCUUUGACGGGUAGCCGACCUGAGGGGGUGACCGGCGCCCAGGGGCCUAAGGGAGGCCGCAGUGUGGUAGGGGGGGCAGCAGUGGGAAACAUUGCACAACGGUGGGACGCGUGUGGAAGAAGCCCUCGGGGUGGAAAGCAGGCUUUUGGGGUAAGAACCGGUUCUGCUUAUGACCAGGGGUGGGUGACGGUAAUGGAUAAAGAAGCACCGGCUAACUACGUG
Molecule: ribosomal RNA, 468 nt
Filed under: uncultured bacterium
Lineage: Bacteria
Description: partial 16S ribosomal RNA
Rfam family: Bacterial small subunit ribosomal RNA
Source: RNAcentral